UGGGGAAUAUUGCACAAUGGGGGAAACCCUGAUGCAGCGACGCCGCGUGAGCGAAGAAGGCUUUCGAGUCGUAAAGCUCUGUCCUAUGAGAAGAUAAUGACGGUAUCAUAGGAGGAAGCCCUGGCUAAAUACGUGCCAGCAGCCGCGGUAAUACGUAUGGGGCGAGCGUUGUCCGGAAUUAUUGGGCGUAAAGGGUACGUAGGCGGUUUUUUAAGUCAGGUGUCAAAGCGUGGAGCUUAACUCCAUUAAGCACUUGAAACUGAAAGACUUGAGUGAAGGAGAAGAAAGUGGAAUUCCUAGUGUAGCGGUGAAAUGCGUAGAUAUUAGGAGGAAUACCGGUGGCGAAGGCGACUUUCUGGACUUUUACUGACGCUCAGGUACGAAAGCGUGGGGAGCAAACAGG
Molecule: ribosomal RNA, 403 nt
Filed under: Verrucomicrobiota bacterium
Lineage: Bacteria; Pseudomonadati; Verrucomicrobiota
Description: Verrucomicrobia bacterium partial 16S ribosomal RNA
Rfam family: Bacterial small subunit ribosomal RNA
Source: RNAcentral